RNAcentral lists this ribosomal RNA (409 nucleotides) under uncultured delta proteobacterium. RNAcentral describes it as "bacterial SSU rRNA". It matches the Rfam family "Bacterial small subunit ribosomal RNA", at positions 134 to 523 of the family's 1533-position model. Lineage: Bacteria; Deltaproteobacteria. The record is from RNAcentral.
AAGUGGGGGACAACGUUCCGAAAGGGACGCUAAUACCGCAUAAGUUCUCAGGGACUCCGGUCUUUGAGAGAAAGCUAGGUAGCAAUAUCUGGCGCUUGAUGAGGAGCCUGCGUCGCAUCAGCUAGUUGGUGGGGUAACGGCCUACCAAGGCGAAGACGCGUAGCUGGUCUGAGAGGAUGAUCAGCCACACUGGGACUGAGACACGGCCCAGACUCCUACGGGAGGCAGCAGUGGGGGAAUAUUGGACAAUGGGCGCAAGCCUGACCCAGCGACGCCGCGUGGGUGAUGAAGGCCUUCGGGUCGUAAAGCCUUGUCAGGAGGAACGAAUGGUUCUAGGGCAAAUAGUCCUAGGGCGUGACGGUACCUCUGAAGGAAGCACCGGCCAACUCCGUGCCAGCAGCCGCGGUAA